AUUGAACGCUGGCGGCAUGCUUUACACAUGCAAGUCGAACGGUAACAGGCCGCAAGGUGCUGACGAGUGGCGAACGGGUGAGUAAUGCAUCGGAACGUGCCCAGUCGUGGGGGAUAACUACUCGAAAGAGUAGCUAAUACCGCAUACGAUCUAUGGAUGAAAGCGGGGGACCGUAAGGCCUCGCGCGAUUGGAGCGGCCGAUGUCGGAUUAGGUAGUUGGUGGGGUAAAGGCUCACCAAGCCAACGAUCUGUAGCUGGUCUGAGAGGACAACCAGCCACACUGGGACUGAGACACGGCCCAGACUCCUACGGGAGGCAGCAGUGGGGAAUUUUGGACAAUGGGCGCAAGCCUGAUCCAGCAAUGCCGCGUGCAGGAAGAAGGCCUUCGGGUUGUAAACUGCUUUUGUACGGAACGAAACGGCUCUGGUUAAUACCCGGGGCUAAUGACGGUACCGCAAGAAUAAGCACCGGCUAACUACGUG
RNAcentral lists this ribosomal RNA (482 nucleotides) under uncultured bacterium. Its description in RNAcentral is "partial 16S ribosomal RNA". It matches the Rfam family "Bacterial small subunit ribosomal RNA", at positions 30 to 507 of the family's 1533-position model. The record is from RNAcentral.